UUGGCACCUUAUAAACAGAAAACUAGCAUAUUUUUAAAUACAAAUUAACAAAUAAAAUUCUCAUUCUAAACAUAUUCACAUCAAAUGAUUUAUUUGGACAUGCAAACAGAUACUCAAUUUUAUUUGUAAAAUAAUUAUAAUUCAUGAAUCACUGACUGUAGUUAUCUAAAUUUAUCGACCUCCUAAGCUAUUUCUAGCCUCUCCCCCUCUCUCUUUCUGCCUCUCUCUCCUCUCCGUCCCUUCCUUUCGCAAACUUUUUUUUUUUAAUUUUAAUGCUUCAACUGUUUUAUUCUCGCAGCUAAAUUUAUUUUUUUAAUAAAUGAAAUGAAUAAUUUGCUAUUUUUAUGCAAAAGAAUAAUUUUUUUGGAAAAAUAAUUGUAAU
RNAcentral lists this long non-coding RNA (382 nucleotides) under Ananas comosus (pineapple). RNAcentral's name for it is "long non-coding RNA (ACOM_LNC038127)". The record is from RNAcentral. Lineage: Eukaryota; Viridiplantae; Streptophyta; Magnoliopsida; Poales; Bromeliaceae.